Molecule: ribosomal RNA, 486 nt
Filed under: uncultured bacterium
Lineage: Bacteria
Description: partial 16S ribosomal RNA
Rfam family: Bacterial small subunit ribosomal RNA
Source: RNAcentral
AUUGAACGCUGGCGGCAUGCCUUACACAUGCCAGUCGAACGGCAGCACGGGUGCUUGCACCUGGUGGCGAGUGGCGAACGGGUGAGUAAUACAUCGGAACAUGUCCUGUAGUGGGGGAUAGCCCGGCGAAAGCCGGAUUAAUACCGCAUACGAUCUACGGAUGAAAGCGGGGGACCUUCGGGCCUCGCGCUAUAGGGUUGGCCGAUGGCUGAUUAGCUAGUUGGUGGGGUAAAGGCCUACCAAGGCGACGAUCAGUAGCUGGUCUGAGAGGACGACCAGCCACACUGGGACUGAGACACGGACCAGACUCCUACGGGAGGCAGCAGUGGGGAAUGUUGGACAAUGGGCGAAAGCAUGAUCCAGCAAUGCCGCGUGUGUGAAGAAGGCCUUCGGGUUGUAAAGCACUUUUGUCCGGAAAGAAAUCCUUGGCCCUAAUACGGUCGGGGGAUGACGGUACCGGAAGAAUAAGCACCGGCUAACUACGUG